RNAcentral lists this unclassified non-coding RNA (336 nucleotides) under soil metagenome. RNAcentral's name for it is "partial contains 5.8S ribosomal RNA, internal transcribed spacer 2, and large subunit ribosomal RNA". The stretch from base 1 to 120 matches the Rfam family "5.8S ribosomal RNA", at positions 35 to 154 of the family's 154-position model. The record is from RNAcentral.
GAUGAAGAACGUAGCGAAAUGCGAUAAGUAAUGUGAAUUGCAGAAUUCAGUGAAUCAUCGAAUCUUUGAACGCACAUUGCGCCCGCCAGUAUUCUGGCGGGCAUGCCUGUUCGAGCGUCAUUUCAACCAUCAAGCCCCGGGCUUGUGUUGGGGACCUGCGGCUGCCGCAGGCCCUGAAAUGCAGUGGCGGGCUCGCUGUCACUCCGAGCGUAGUAGAUUUUCAUCUCGCUCAGGGCGUGCUGCGGGUUCCGGCCGUAAAAAGCCUUAUUUACCCAAGGUUGACCUCGGAUCAGGUAGGAAGACCCGCUGAACUUAAGCAUAUCAAUAAGCGGAGGA